CAGUCGAACGAUGAUGCCCAGCUUGCUGGGUGGAUUAGUGGCGAACGGGUGAGUAACACGUGAGUAACCUGCCCCUGACUCUGGGAUAAGCGUUGGAAACGACGUCUAAUACUGGAUAUGACUGCCGGCCGCAUGGUCUGGUGGUGGAAAGAUUUUUUGGUUGGGGAUGGACUCGCGGCCUAUCAGCUUGUUGGUGAGGUAAUGGCUCACCAAGGCGACGACGGGUAGCCGGCCUGAGAGGGUGACCGGCCACACUGGGACUGAGACACGGCCCAGACUCCUACGGGAGGCAGCAGUGGGGAAUAUUGCACAAUGGGCGAAAGCCUGAUGCAGCAACGCCGCGUGAGGGAUGACGGCCUUCGGGUUGUAAACCUCUUUUAGUAGGGAAGAAGCGAAAGUGACGGUACCUGCAGAAAAAGCACCGGCUAACUACGUGCCAGCAGCCGCGGUAAUACGUAGGGUGCAAGCGUUGUCCGGAAUUAUUGGGCGUAAAGAGCUCGUAGGCGGUUUGUCGCGUCUGCUGUGAAAUCCCGAGGCUCAACCUCGGGCUUGCAGUGGGUACGGGCAGACUAGAGUGCGGUAGGGGAGAUUGGAAUUCCUGGUGUAGCGGUGGAAUGCGCAGAUAUCAGGAGGAACACCGAUGGCGAAGGCAGAUCUCUGGGCCGUAACUGACGCUGAGGAGCGAAAGCGUGGGGAGCGAACAGGAUUAGAUACCCUGGUAGUCCACGCCGUAAACGUUGGGCGCUAGAUGUAGGGACCUUUCCACGGUUUCUGUGUCGUAGCUAACGCAUUAAGCGCCCCGCCUGGGGAGUACGGCCGCAAGGCUAAAACUCAAAGGAAUUGACGGGGGCCCGCACAAGCGGCGGAGCAUGCGGAUUAAUUCGAUGCAACGCGAAGAACCUUACCAAGGCUUGACAUACACCGGAAACGGCCAGAGAUGGUCGCCCCCUUGUGGUCGGUGUACAGGUGGUGCAUGGUUGUCGUCAGCUCGUGUCGUGAGAUGUUGGGUUAAGUCCCGCAACGAGCGCAACCCUCGUUCUAUGUUGCCAGCGCGUUAUGGCGGGGACUCAUAGGAGACUGCCGGGGUCAACUCGGAGGAAGGUGGGGAUGACGUCAAAUCAUCAUGCCCCUUAUGUCUUGGGCUUCACGCAUGCUACAAUGGCCGGUACAAAGGGCUGCGAUACCGUAAGGUGGAGCGAAUCCCAAAAAGCCGGUCUCAGUUCGGAUUGAGGUCUGCAACUCGACCUCAUGAAGUCGGAGUCGCUAGUAAUCGCAGAUCAGCAACGCUGCGGUGAAUACGUUCCCGGGCCUUGUACACACCGCCCGUCAAGUCAUGAAAGUCGGUAACACCCGAAGCCGGUGGCCUAACCC
RNAcentral lists this ribosomal RNA (1371 nucleotides) under Curtobacterium oceanosedimentum. Its description in RNAcentral is "partial 16S ribosomal RNA". It matches the Rfam family "Bacterial small subunit ribosomal RNA". The record is from RNAcentral. Lineage: Bacteria; Bacillati; Actinomycetota; Actinomycetes; Micrococcales; Microbacteriaceae. RNAcentral also lists the same sequence under 1 other name.